Molecule: ribosomal RNA, 918 nt
Filed under: uncultured archaeon
Lineage: Archaea
Description: bacterial SSU rRNA
Rfam family: Archaeal small subunit ribosomal RNA
Source: RNAcentral
UUCCGGUUGAUCCCGCCAGAGGUUACUGCUAUCGGUGUUCGCCUAAGCCAUGCGAGUCAUAUGUAGCAAUACAUGGCGUACUGCUCAGUAACACGUGGAUAACCUGCCCUUGGGACCGGCAUAACCCCGGGAAACUGGGGAUAAUUCCGGAUAACGCAUAUUUGCUGGAAUGCUUUAUGCGUCAAAAGGAUUCGUCUGCCCAAGGAUGGGUCUGCGGCCUAUCAGGUAGUAGUGGGUGUAAUGUACCUACUAGCCAGCGACGGGUACGGGUUGUGAGAGCAAGAGCCCGGAGAUGGAUUCUGAGACAUGAAUCCAGGCCCUACGGGGCGCAGCAGGCGCGAAAACUUUACAAUGCGGGAAACCGUGAUAAGGGGACACCGAGUGCCAGCAUCAUAUGCUGGCUGUCCGGAUGUGUAAAAUACAUCCGUUAGCAAGGGCCGGGCAAGACCGGUGCCAGCCGCCGCGGUAACACCGGCGGCCCGAGUGGUGAUCGUGAUUAUUGGGUCUAAAGGGUCCGUAGCCGGUUUGGUCAGUCCUCCGGGAAAUCUGAUAGCUUAACUAUUAGGCUUUCGGGGGAUACUGCCAGACUUGGAACCGGGAGAGGUAAGAGGUACUACAGGGGUAGGAGUGAAAUCUUGUAAUCCCUGUGGGACCACCUGUGGCGAAGGCGUCUUACCAGAACGGGUUCGACGGUGAGGGACGAAAGCUGGGGGCACGAACCGGAUUAGAUACCCGGGUAGUCCCAGCCGUAAACGAUGCUCGCUAGGUGUCAGGCAUGGCGCGACCGUGUCUGGUGCCGCAGGGAAGCCGUGAAGCGAGCCACCUGGGAAGUACGGCCGCAAGGCUGAAACUUAAAGGAAUUGGCGGGGGAGCACAACAACGGGUGGAGCCUGCGGUUUAAUUGGAUUCAACGCCGGG